This is a long non-coding RNA of Leptopilina boulardi, 634 nucleotides long. RefSeq lists it as uncharacterized. Lineage: Eukaryota; Metazoa; Arthropoda; Insecta; Hymenoptera; Figitidae. The transcript has 5 exons. The record is from RefSeq and is a predicted model, not a curated record.
AGUUGUUGCAGUUCGUGCUGUUUAAUAGGUGAAGGUGAAAACAAAACGAAACUUCAGAUUGAAGAUGACAUCUGUCAAAUACUAUGGUGUCAGUAUUUGCAGAACGAGAAAUUUAAUUUUAAAUCAGAAUUUGAUGAUAAAAUCACAGUGAUUGGAGACAGAAAGAAUUGAAAAUAUCGAUGGAAUGCUGACAACAUCGUAAGGAGUAUGCUGUCAGUAAUUGAUGAGGAUCAUUAAGUUUGGACCGGUCCUCUCUAAUUUUAUCAACAGGCGACAAAAUUAUUCUGGAGUAAUUUAUUCGUUCUGAUACAAAAUAGACUGCUGAUGCUGUAAACAUCCUAAAAAUUCUAUCCUCGAUGGCUUGUGGUGUCUUGUACUUCAAAGAUAAGGGAGAAAGUAAAAACGGAUACAUCUUAUCUGGAAGGACACAGAAUUCUCCAUAUUGAAGACUUUUUAGAACUCGGUCUAUUUUUACGGUUAUUUUUCACAUUUUCGAAAUGGAAAUUUAACUUGAAAGUAGGGAUCUCCGAGGGCUAUUUAGUUUGAAGGAGCUGUACUGCUGAUGCUGUAAACAUCGUAAGAAGGAUAGCAAUUCAACAUAUCUACUGCGACUAUAUACAGCAACAAAAAGUGA